Molecule: ribosomal RNA, 416 nt
Filed under: uncultured bacterium
Lineage: Bacteria
Description: partial 16S ribosomal RNA
Rfam family: Bacterial small subunit ribosomal RNA
Source: RNAcentral
AUGAACGCUGGCGGCGUGCCUAACACAUGCAAGUCGAGCGAUCUYUUCGGAGAGAGCGGCGGACGGGUGAGUAACGCGUGGGUAACCUGCCCUGUACACACGGAUAACAUACCGAAAGGUAUGMUWAUACGGGAUAACAUAUAAGAGUCGCAUGACUUUUAUAUCAAAGAUUUUUCGGUACAGGAUGGACCCGCGUSUGAUUAGCUUGUUSGCGGGGUAMCGGCCCACCAAGGMGACGAUCAGUAGCCKACCUGAGAGGGUGAUCGGCCACAUUGGAAYUGAGACACGGUCCAAACUCCUACGGGAGGCAGCAGKGGGGAAUAUUGCACAAUGGGCGCAAGCCUGAUGCAGCAACGCCGCGUGAGCGAUGAAGGCCUUCGGGUCGUAAAGYUYUGUCCUCAAGGAAGAUAAUGACG